Molecule: ribosomal RNA, 257 nt
Filed under: Duganella qianjiadongensis
Lineage: Bacteria; Pseudomonadati; Pseudomonadota; Betaproteobacteria; Burkholderiales; Oxalobacteraceae
Description: partial 16S ribosomal RNA
Rfam family: Bacterial small subunit ribosomal RNA
Source: RNAcentral
CCUGGGGAGUACGGUCGCAAGAUUAAAACUCAAAGGAAUUGACGGGGACCCGCACAAGCGGUGGAUGAUGUGGAUUAAUUCGAUGCAACGCGAAAAACCUUACCUACCCUUGACAUGGCAGGAAUCCUGAAGAGAUUUGGGAGUGCUCGAAAGAGAACCUGCACACAGGUGCUGCAUGGCUGUCGUCAGCUCGUGUCGUGAGAUGUUGGGUUAAGUCCCGCAACGAGCGCAACCCUUGUCAUUAGUUGCUACGCAAG